Molecule: ribosomal RNA, 253 nt
Filed under: uncultured prokaryote
Description: partial 16S ribosomal RNA
Rfam family: Bacterial small subunit ribosomal RNA
Source: RNAcentral
UACGUAGGUGGCAAGCGUUGUUCGGAAUUAUUGGGCGUAAAGGGCGCGUAGGCGGCUUGUUAAGUCGGCUGUGAAAGCCCUGGGCUCAACCCAGGAAGUGCACUCGAAACUGACGGGCUUGAAUAUGGAAGAGGGUCGCGGAAUUCCCGGUGUAGAGGUGAAAUUCGUAGAUAUCGGGAGGAACACCAGUGGCGAGGGCGGCGACCUGGGCCAAUAUUGACGCUGAGGUGCGAAAGCGUGGGGAGCAAACAGG